RNAcentral lists this ribosomal RNA (440 nucleotides) under uncultured bacterium. Its description in RNAcentral is "partial 16S ribosomal RNA". It matches the Rfam family "Bacterial small subunit ribosomal RNA", at positions 338 to 795 of the family's 1533-position model. The record is from RNAcentral.
CCUACGGGUGGCAGCAGUGGGGAAUAUUGCACAAUGGGGGAAACCCUGAACCAGCCAAGCCGCGUGAAGGAAGAAGGACUUUGGUAUUUUAAACUCCUUUUGUCGGGGAGAAAACCACGGUCCGUGCCUAACAAAUCACGGCUAACUACGUGCCAGCAGCCGCGGUACGACGUAGGGGGCAGGCGUUAUUCGGAUUUACGGGGUGUAAAGGGAGCGUAGGCGGGAAUGAAAGCCCGUUGUGAAAGCACCGGGCGCAACCCGGGGACUGCAUUUGAAACUGUAGUGCUUGAGUACAGGAGAGGUAGGUGGAAUUCCUAGUGUAGCGGUGAAAUGCGUAGAUAUUAGGAGGAACACCAGUGGCGAAGGCGGCUUGCUGGACUGUAAAUGACGCUGAGGCGCGAAAGCGUGGGGAGCAAACAGGAUUAGAUACCCUAGUAGUC